UAAUUAUACCUAAAUUAUC
Molecule: non-coding RNA, 19 nt
Filed under: Arabidopsis thaliana (thale cress)
Lineage: Eukaryota; Viridiplantae; Streptophyta; Magnoliopsida; Brassicales; Brassicaceae
Source: RNAcentral